GGUAUGCCUAUCAAAAGGGUUAGGCGCACCCGUCGGAUCAGUGAUUGUCGGUUCGAAGGCCUUCAUUGACAAGGCCAGAAUUCUCCGGAAGACCCUAGGCGGUGGAAUGAGACAGGUGGGAGUUCUUUGUGCUGCUGCUCAUGUUGUCGUUCGUGACACUGUGGGAAAGCUUGCGGAUGACCACAGGAAGGCUAAAGCUUUGGCAGAGGGACUGAAGAAAAUCGAGCAGAUUACAGUGGACUUAGCUUCGGUCGAGACCAAUAUGGUAUUCUUUGAGGUCAUGGAU
RNA transcript from Zea mays, 286 nucleotides. RefSeq lists it as uncharacterized. The record is from RefSeq and is a predicted model, not a curated record. Lineage: Eukaryota; Viridiplantae; Streptophyta; Magnoliopsida; Poales; Poaceae. The transcript is spliced from 4 exons.